AUUGAACGCUGGCGGCAGGCCUAACACAUGCAAGUCGAACGAGUGGCGGACGGGUGAGUAAUGUCUGUGAAACUGCCCGAUGGAGGGGGAUGACUACUGGAAGCGAUAGCUAAUACCGCAUACCAUCGGAUGUGCCCAGAUGGGAUUAGCUAGUCGGUGGGGUAACGGCUCACCUAGGCGACGAUGCCUAGCUGGUCUGAGAGGAUGACCAGCCACACUGGAACUGAGACACGGUCCAGACUCCUACGGGAUGCAGCAGUGGGGAAUAUUGCACAAUGGGCGCAAGCCUGAUGCAGCCAUGCCGCGUGUAUGAAGAAGGCCUUCGGGUUGUAAAGUACUUUCAGCGAGGAGGCGUUACUCGCAGAAGAAGCACCGGCUAACUCCGUGCCAGCAGCCGCGGUAAUAC
RNAcentral lists this ribosomal RNA (406 nucleotides) under uncultured bacterium. Its description in RNAcentral is "partial 16S ribosomal RNA". It matches the Rfam family "Bacterial small subunit ribosomal RNA", at positions 30 to 526 of the family's 1533-position model. The record is from RNAcentral.